Molecule: non-coding RNA, 155 nt
Organism: Thalictrum thalictroides
Lineage: Eukaryota; Viridiplantae; Streptophyta; Magnoliopsida; Ranunculales; Ranunculaceae
Source: the annotation of a GenBank genome assembly
AUACUUUCCCACAUUGGAGAUACACAUAUAUACUAACCCCCUAGGUUAGUGACCUCCAUUGCACUCAGGAGGGGCACUCGCCUAAGAUAUCUCCAAGUGGGAUAGUCUACUUCAUAAUUUGUUGCUGAGGGGGUACGCGUUAGUGUGGCCCCUGC